UACGUAGGGGGCAAGCGUUAUCCGGAUUUACUGGGUGUAAAGGGAGCGUAGACGGCAGAGCAAGUCUGAAGUGAAAGCCCGCGGCCCAACUGCGGGACUGCUUUGGAAACUGCCCGGCUAGAGUGCUGGAGUGGUAAGCGGAAUUCCUAGUGUAGCGGUGAAAUGCGUAGAUAUUAGGAGGAACACCAGUGGCGAAGGCGGCUUACUGGACAGUAACUGACGUUGAGGCUCGAAAGCGUGGGGAGCAAACAGG
RNAcentral lists this ribosomal RNA (253 nucleotides) under uncultured bacterium. RNAcentral describes it as "partial 16S ribosomal RNA". It matches the Rfam family "Bacterial small subunit ribosomal RNA", at positions 524 to 776 of the family's 1533-position model. The record is from RNAcentral.